Molecule: transfer RNA, 87 nt
Filed under: Clostridia bacterium
Lineage: Bacteria; Bacillati; Bacillota; Clostridia
Description: tRNA-Leu
Rfam family: tRNA
About the family: Transfer RNA (tRNA) molecules are approximately 80 nucleotides in length. Their secondary structure includes four short double-helical elements and three loops (D, anti-codon, and T loops).
Source: RNAcentral
GCAGAUGUGGCGGAAUUGGCAGACGCGCAAGAUUCAGGUUCUUGUGGGCGAAAGUUCAUGCAGGUUCAACUCCUGUCAUCUGCACCA